ACCUGGGACAGCUCAGUUGGUAGAGCACGAGGCUCUCAAUCUAAGGGUUGUAGGUUCAAGAAACCCCACAUUGGGCA
This is a non-coding RNA of Podarcis lilfordi (Lilford's wall lizard), 77 nucleotides long. Lineage: Eukaryota; Metazoa; Chordata; Lepidosauria; Squamata; Lacertidae. The record is from the annotation of a GenBank genome assembly.